GAUGAACGCUGGCGGCGUGCCUAAUACAUGCAAGUCGAACGAACAGAUGCGGAGCUUGCUCCUCUGACGUUAGCGGCGGACGGGUGAGUCACACGUGUAUCACCUACCUAUAAGACUGGGAUAACUUCGGGAAACCGGCUCUAAUACCGUAUAAUAUACUGAAGCGCGUUGUUCAAUAGUGAGAUACGGCUUUGCUGGCACGUCUCGAUGGAUCCGCGCCGCAUUAGCUAGUUGGUACGGUAAUGGCUUACCAAGGCAACGAGGCGUAUCCGACCUCAGAGAGGGAUCGGCGGCACUGGAAGUGAGACAGGGUCCAGACUACUACGGGAGGCACCAGUAGGCAAUCGUACGCAACGGGCGAGAGUCUGACGGAGCAACGCGGAGUGAGUGAUGAAGGUCCUCGGAUCGUAAAACCGUGUUACGAGGGAAGAACAAAUGUGUAAGUAGAUAUGCACGUCUUGACGGUAACUAAUAAGAAAGCAACGGCUAACUACGUG
RNAcentral lists this ribosomal RNA (497 nucleotides) under uncultured bacterium. Its description in RNAcentral is "partial 16S ribosomal RNA". It matches the Rfam family "Bacterial small subunit ribosomal RNA", at positions 28 to 507 of the family's 1533-position model. The record is from RNAcentral.